UACGAAGGGGGCUAGCGUUGCUCGGAAUCACUGGGCGUAAAGGGUGCGUAGGCGGGUCUUUAAGUCAGGGGUGAAAUCCUGGAGCUCAACUCCAGAACUGCCUUUGAUACUGAGGAUCUUGAGUUCGGGAGAGGUGAGUGGAACUGCGAGUGUAGAGGUGAAAUUCGUAGAUAUUCGCAAGAACACCAGUGGCGAAGGCGGCUCACUGGCCCGAUACUGACGCUGAGGCACGAAAGCGUGGGGAAGCAAACAGGG
This 255-nucleotide ribosomal RNA is filed under the name uncultured bacterium. RNAcentral describes it as "partial 16S ribosomal RNA". It matches the Rfam family "Bacterial small subunit ribosomal RNA", at positions 524 to 777 of the family's 1533-position model. The record is from RNAcentral.